UGUAAAAUUUUAAAGGUCGAACAGACCUAAUAUUUUUAGCUUCUACACCAAAAAUUUAUUUUAAUCCAACAUCGAGGUCGCAAUCUUUUUUUUUAAUAUGAACUUUCUAAAAAAAUUACGCUGUUAUCCCUAAGGUAAUUUUAUCUUAUAAUCAAAAAUAUUGGRUCAUAUACUCAUAAAUUAAUGUUUUAAAAUAAAAAAAGUUAAAUAAAUUUUUCAAUCACCCCAAUUAAAUUAUUUAAUAAAAUAAAUAAAUAAAUACUAAAAUAUAUUUUUUAUUAAAUAAUUAAACUCUAUAGGGUCUUCUCGUCUUUUAAUAAUAAUUAAGCUUUUUAACUUAAAAAUAAAAUUCUAAUUAAAUUUAACAGAGACAGUUAUUUUCUUAUCCAACCUUUCAUUCCAGUUUUUAAUUAAAAAACUAAUGAUUAUGCUACCUUAGCACGGUCAAAAUACCACGGCCAUUUAAAAUCUCAGUGGGCAGGUUAGACCUUAAAUUAUCAACAAAAGGAC
Molecule: ribosomal RNA, 510 nt
Filed under: Oreina cacaliae
Lineage: Eukaryota; Metazoa; Arthropoda; Insecta; Coleoptera; Chrysomelidae
Description: 16S ribosomal RNA
Source: RNAcentral